Molecule: long non-coding RNA, 242 nt
Filed under: Lathyrus oleraceus (garden pea)
Lineage: Eukaryota; Viridiplantae; Streptophyta; Magnoliopsida; Fabales; Fabaceae
Description: Pisum sativum (pea) long non-coding RNA (PSAT_LNC000285)
Source: RNAcentral
AGGGUGGCCAAGAAGAUGGAGGAGAUGAAGACCAAAUAGAUGGAGGAGAUGAAGACCAAGGAGGUUUGGGAGAGUAUGACACAUGAGUUGAAGGAAAGGUUGACCAAGAAGGUGAUGGAAAGGGUGACCAAUGAGAUGCAUGAGAGGGUGGCCAAGGAUGUCGAGGAGACGGUGACCAAGGUGGUGCAGGAGAGGGUGACCGAGGAGGUGCAGAAGAGGGUGACAAAGGAGGCGCGGGAGAG